GACGAACGCUGGCGGCGUGCUUAACACAUGCAAGUCGAACGGAAAGGCCCUGCUUUUGUGGGGUGCUCGAGUGGCGAACGGGUGAGUAACACGUGAGUAACCUGCCCUUGACUUUGGGAUAACUUCAGGAAACUGGGGCUAAUACCGGAUAGGAGCUCCUGCUGCAUGGUGGGGGUUGGAAAGUUUCGGCGGGUGGGGAUGGACUCGCGGCUUAUCAGCUUGUUGGUGGGGUAGUGGCUUACCAAGGCUUUGACGGGUAGCCGGCCUGAGAGGGUGACCGGCGACAUUGGGACUGAGAUACGGCCCAGACGCCUACGGGAGGCAGCAGUGGGGAAUAUUGCACAAUGGGCGGAAGCCUGAUGCAGCAACGCCGCGUGCGGGAUGACGGCCUUCGGGUUGUAAACCGCUUUCGCCUGUGACGAAGCGUGAGUGACGGUAAUGGGUAAAGAAGCACCGGCUAACUACGUG
This 468-nucleotide ribosomal RNA is filed under the name uncultured bacterium. RNAcentral describes it as "partial 16S ribosomal RNA". It matches the Rfam family "Bacterial small subunit ribosomal RNA", at positions 28 to 507 of the family's 1533-position model. The record is from RNAcentral.